This 358-nucleotide RNase P RNA is filed under the name Planctomycetota bacterium. RNAcentral describes it as "partial RNase P RNA component class A". It matches the Rfam family "Bacterial RNase P class A", at positions 1 to 322 of the family's 367-position model. From Rfam's summary of the family: Ribonuclease P (RNase P) is a ubiquitous endoribonuclease, found in archaea, bacteria and eukarya as well as chloroplasts and mitochondria. Its best characterised activity is the generation of mature 5'-ends of tRNAs by cleaving the 5'-leader elements of precursor-tRNAs. The record is from RNAcentral. Lineage: Bacteria; Pseudomonadati; Planctomycetota.
GGAGUGGGCCAGGCGUUCGCGCGCCGUGUUCUUUGACAUGGCGUGAGGAAAGUCCGAACUGGGCAGGGCACGGUGGUCGCUAACGGCGACCCGGGGCGACCCGAGGGAUAGUGCCACAGAAAAGACACCGCCGAUGGAGCCGUUCUUGCAUGAGAUGGUUCACAGGUAAGGGUGAAAUGGUGCGGUAAGAGCGCACCGGGCGAUUGGUGACAAUCGUCGCACGGUAAACCCCACCGCCAGCAAGCCCAAAUAGGCAGCGAGUUCGCCUCGGCGAACGGGAGGCGGCCCGUCUCCUUCGAGUUGCGGGUAGGGCGCAUGAGCCGUCCAGCAAUGGCCGGCCUAGAUGAAUGAACGCCCC